RNAcentral lists this ribosomal RNA (440 nucleotides) under uncultured bacterium. RNAcentral describes it as "partial 16S ribosomal RNA". It matches the Rfam family "Bacterial small subunit ribosomal RNA", at positions 338 to 795 of the family's 1533-position model. The record is from RNAcentral.
CCUACGGGAGACAGCAGUGGGGAAUAUUGCACAAUGGGGGAAACCCUGAUGCAGCGACGCCGCGUGAGUGAAGAAGUAUCUCGGUACGUAAAGCUCUAUCAGCAGGGAAGAAAAUGACGGUACCUGACUAAGAAGCCCCGGCUAACUACGUGCCAGCAGCCGCGGUAAUACGUAGGGGGCAAGCGUUAGCCGGAUUUACUGGGUGUAAAGGGAGCGUAGAGGGCAGCACAAGUCUGGAGUGAAAUCCCGGGGCUUAAACCCGGGACUGCUUUGGUAACUGUGCGGCUGGAGUGCAGGAGGGGUAAGCGGAAUUCCUAGUGUAGCGGUGAAAUGCGUAGAUAUUAGGAGGAACACUAGUGGCGAAGGCGGCUUACUGGACUGUAACUGACGUUGAGGCUCGAAAGCGUGGGGAGCAAACAGGAUUAGAUACCCUUGUAGUC